AAUUUUAAGAUAAUUAAAGACUAGAUGAACUGAACUGAGCCAGACCAAAGGGUGCAGUCAUUUGAAAUAUGUUUUCCAUAUUAAUUUGCCUAUGUCUCUGUGCAGCAAGAGCAGACUGCUGAUGUCAAAGGUACUCCUGUCCUGUACUGGCUUCUAAUAUACAAACGUGAGGAAGACCCACAAUUCUUCAAAGUUUGGAAUAUUAAAGAGUCACCAGAGCCAGACAUCAGCAGCACCUCUGUUGGCAUUCUGACCGUCAGCAACAACAAUACAAGUUCAGUGCAUUUCUGUCCGCUCAGUACAGCUGUGGUGGAAGAUGAGCUUGUGAUAGGCGACAUUCCCAAAACAUUUUUGAGUGCUAAUGUUUGUAGGGAAAGGGCAGCCAAAGAAAAGACAGUUUUAUGUGGGAAAAGUGUAAAAAAAAAA
This is a non-coding RNA of Oryzias latipes (Japanese medaka), 426 nucleotides long. The record is from RefSeq and is a predicted model, not a curated record. NCBI's taxonomy places the organism in Eukaryota, Metazoa, Chordata, Actinopteri, Beloniformes, Adrianichthyidae.